RNAcentral lists this long non-coding RNA (271 nucleotides) under Medicago truncatula (barrel medic). RNAcentral describes it as "long non-coding RNA (MTRU_LNC001861)". Lineage: Eukaryota; Viridiplantae; Streptophyta; Magnoliopsida; Fabales; Fabaceae. The record is from RNAcentral.
GAUUCCGGCGCGGUGAUCGCCGUGCUGGAGAGCCAAACUCACCCUUUUUAAAAACUAAAGCCAUUUUUCAACAUCCAUUUUCGUUUUAAAGCCAAAUCCGAACUUGAAUCGAGCAAAAACACAACAAGAAGGAGUAUAUCUAAAGAUUAAAACACAAACGAAAUUUUCUUUGCUUCACUUACUGUUGAGCCGGUUCGCUCCUCUUCUUCCCUCGCGUUUUCUUCUUCUUCGAUCCAGUGGCGCUAUGUUGAUUGCUAUAUGUUACUGUUUC